Molecule: small nucleolar RNA, 73 nt
Organism: Pieris brassicae (large cabbage white)
Lineage: Eukaryota; Metazoa; Arthropoda; Insecta; Lepidoptera; Pieridae
Source: RefSeq, a predicted model, not a curated record
ACCUAAAUGAUGAUCACAACAAUCCUGAACUACCAUGUGGUAUUCUAAAUCGAGCUUUUUAAUACUGAUGAUG